GCCGACGUAGCCCAAAUGGAAGAGGCGCAAGUCUUAGAAACUUGAGGUUGUGAGUUCGACUCUCACCGUCGGUA
RNAcentral lists this transfer RNA (74 nucleotides) under Acidobacteriota bacterium. RNAcentral describes it as "tRNA-Leu". It matches the Rfam family "tRNA". From Rfam's summary of the family: Transfer RNA (tRNA) molecules are approximately 80 nucleotides in length. Their secondary structure includes four short double-helical elements and three loops (D, anti-codon, and T loops). Lineage: Bacteria; Pseudomonadati; Acidobacteriota. The record is from RNAcentral.